RNAcentral lists this ribosomal RNA (362 nucleotides) under uncultured bacterium. RNAcentral describes it as "bacterial SSU rRNA". It matches the Rfam family "Bacterial small subunit ribosomal RNA", at positions 441 to 793 of the family's 1533-position model. The record is from RNAcentral.
AGGAAGGUAGUGUAGUUAACACCUGCAUUAUUUGACGUUACCUACAGAAGAAGCACCGGCUAACUCCGUGCCAGCAGCCGCGGUAAUACGGAGGGUGCGAGCGUUAAUCGGAAUUACUGGGCGUAAAGACGCAUGCAGGCGGCCUGUUAAGUCAGAUGUGAAAGACCCGGGGCGUUAACCUCGGAAUUGCAUUUGUAAACUGGCAGGCUAGAGUCUUGUAGAGGGGGGUAGGAAUUUCAGGUGUAGCGGUGAAAUGCGUAGAGAUCUGAAGGAAUACCAGUGGCGAAGGCGGCCCCCUGGACAAAGACUGACGCUCAGAUGCGAAAGCGUGGGGAGCAAACAGGAUUAGAUACCCCUGGUAG